Molecule: unclassified non-coding RNA, 211 nt
Filed under: uncultured Lactifluus
Lineage: Eukaryota; Fungi; Basidiomycota; Agaricomycetes; Russulales; Russulaceae
Description: sequence contains ITS2
Source: RNAcentral
AUAUCCUCAACCUUCUCUGUUUCUCAUUGAUCGGAGAAGGCUUGGACUUUGGAGGCUUUUGCUGGCCUCUCUUGAAGCCAGCUCCUCUUAAACGCAUUAGCGGGGGUUUCCUUUUGGUCAAUCCUUGACGUGAUAAGAUAUUUUCUACGUCAAGUCAGCUCGGAACCUGCUUUCUAACCUUUGAGUUACAGCGUAACUCGACCCUCAUAAA